GAUCAUGGCUCAGGAUGAACGCUAGCUACAGGCUUAACACAUGCAAGUCGAGGGGCAGCAUGAACUUAGCUUGCUAAGUUUGAUGGCGACCGGCGCACGGGUGAGUAACACGUAUCCAACCUUCCGUUUACUCAGGGAUAGCCUUUCGAAGAAAGAUUAAUACCUGAUAGUAUGGUGAGAUUGCAUGAUAACACCAUUAAAGAUUAUUGGUAACGAAUGGGGAGUGCGUUCCU
Molecule: ribosomal RNA, 233 nt
Filed under: uncultured bacterium
Lineage: Bacteria
Description: partial 16S ribosomal RNA
Rfam family: Bacterial small subunit ribosomal RNA
Source: RNAcentral